Molecule: long non-coding RNA, 514 nt
Organism: Thalassophryne amazonica
Lineage: Eukaryota; Metazoa; Chordata; Actinopteri; Batrachoidiformes; Batrachoididae
Exons: 3
Source: RefSeq, a predicted model, not a curated record
CAAGUGUGUUGUUCAAGAUUAUUGACUGUAUUGAUAUUGCACAGAAUGCAUGUGUGGAUGCCUCCCCUGAUAUGUGCAAUAAUCUUGUGAGUUUUUUAAUGGAGAAAGUUGAUAAUAUUAGGGCUUCUAUUAUAGCUCCUGCUAUUGACCCUUCGUCUUUGGUUUCUUGUCCUGCCAUUUUUACUCAGUUUGAAUCUGUGACCUUUUAAUUUUUAGAGGAUGUAGUAGGUUACAUCAAAUCUUCUGGUUCGCUUUAUAAUCCUGUUCCUCCAUGAUUUUUUAAAGAAAUUUUGAUGUGUAUAGGGCAGCCGAUGCUUGCAAUUAUGAAUUCUGGCACGUCUUCUGGGGUGGUUCCAGCACAAUUCAAACAUGCAGUGAGUGGUCCAGCCUUUGCUUAAGAAACCCAGCCUUGAUCGUAAGGUUUUGGCUCAUUAUAGGCCCAAUUCUAAACUGCCUUUUAGUCUAAGGUUUUAGAGAAAAUUGUUAAUUGCCAAUUAAGUUUUUGAAUUUAAAU